RNAcentral lists this ribosomal RNA (436 nucleotides) under uncultured bacterium. RNAcentral describes it as "partial 16S ribosomal RNA". It matches the Rfam family "Bacterial small subunit ribosomal RNA", at positions 28 to 507 of the family's 1533-position model. The record is from RNAcentral.
GAUGAACGCUGGCGGUCUGCUUAACACAUGCAAGUCGAACGGACACUUUCGGGAGUUGCUGGUGGACCGGUGAGUAAGGCCGGAGAAUUUGCACUUUGGAGGCGGAUAUCUGUUGGAAACGACAGCUAAUACCACAGGUGCCGAUAGGGAAAAAGUAAUUCGCCAACGGGUGUGCUUGCGUCGGAACAGCUAUUUGGUGGGGUAUGAGCCGACCAAGGCGACGGUCCGUAGCUGGUCUGAGAGGAUGACCAGCCACACUGGGACUGAGACACGGCGCAGACUCCUACGGGAGGCAGCAGUGGGGAAUUUUCCGCAAUGGGCGCAAGCCUGACGGAGCAAGACCGCGUGAGGGAAGACGGUCUGUGGAUUAUAAACCUCGUUUGACAGGGAAGAAGUACUGACGGUACCUGUCGAAUCAGCCUCGGCUAACUCCGUG